Molecule: ribosomal RNA, 903 nt
Filed under: uncultured archaeon
Lineage: Archaea
Description: bacterial SSU rRNA
Rfam family: Archaeal small subunit ribosomal RNA
Source: RNAcentral
CGGUUGCUCCUGCCGGACCCUACUGCUAUCGGGGUAGGACUAAGACAUGCGAGUCGAGCGUCUCUAAAGCUAUGUGUUAAAGACGCGGCGUACGGCUCAGUAACACGUGGCUAACCUACCCUUAGGACAGGGGACUACCCCGGGAAACUGGGGCUAAUACCCGAUAGAUGAGGAGGCCUGGAAUGGUUCCUAGUCGAAAAGGCGUUGAAACCAUGCUUUUCGACGUCGCCUAAGGAUGGGGCCGCGCCCGAUCAGGUUGUUGGUGGGGUAACGGCUCACCAAGCCUAUAACCGGUACGGGCCGUGAGAGCGGGAGCCCGGAGAUGGGCACUGAGACAAGGGCCCAGGCCCUACGGGGCGCAGCAGUCGCGAAAACUCCGCAAUGCGCGAAAGCGUGACGGGGCUACCCCGAGUGCCGUCCGCUGAGGAUGGCUUUUCCCCGGUGUAAUGAGCCGGGGGAAUAAGGAGAGGGCAAGUCUGGUGUCAGCCGCCGCGGUAAUACCAGCUCUCCGAGUGGUAGGGAUGAUUAUUGGGCUUAAAGCGUCCGUAGCCGGCUUAGCAAGUCUCCUGUUAAAUUCAGCGACCUAAUCGUUGAGCCGCGGGAGAUACUACUAGGCUAGGAGGCGGGAGAGGCCGACGGUAUUCUCGGGGUAGGGGUGAAAUCCUAUAAUCCCGGGAGGACCACCAGUGGCGAAGGCUGUCGGCUAGAACGCGCUCGACGGUGAGGGACGAAAGCUGGGGGAGCGAACCGGAUUAGAUACCCGGGUAGUCCCAGCUGUAAACGAUGCGGGCUAGGUGUUGGGGUGGCUACGAGCCACUUCAGUGCCGCAGGGAAGCCAUUAAGCCCGCCGCCUGGGGAGUACGGCCGCAAGGCUGAAACUUAAAGGAAUUGGCGGGGGAGCAC